GACGAACGCUGGCGGCGUGCUUAACACAUGCAAGUCGAGCGGUAAGGCCUCUUCGGUGGUACACGAGCGUCGAACGGGUGAGUAACACGUGGGUGACCUGCCCUCAGCUCUGGGAUAAGCCUGGGAAACUGGAUCUGAUACCGGAACUGACCUUUCCUCGCAUGGGGAUUGGUGGAUAGUGUUUUCGGGUGUGGUUGGGCCCGUGGCCUCUCAGCUUGUUGGUGGGGUGAUGGCGUACCGAGGCGGCGACCGGUCGCACGCGUGCGUAGGCGACCGGCCAACCCGGGAGUGAGGCACGGGUCAGAAUCCUACGGGAGGGAGCAGUGGGGAAUCGUGGGCAAUGGGCGGAAGCCUGAAGGAGCGACGGAGCGUGGGGGAUGACGGCCUGCGGGUUGUAAACCUCUUUCGAACCCGACGAAUUUGGACGGUAGGGGUAGAAGAAGCACCGGCCAACUACGUG
Molecule: ribosomal RNA, 460 nt
Filed under: uncultured bacterium
Lineage: Bacteria
Description: partial 16S ribosomal RNA
Rfam family: Bacterial small subunit ribosomal RNA
Source: RNAcentral